This 858-nucleotide ribosomal RNA is filed under the name uncultured organism. RNAcentral describes it as "bacterial SSU rRNA". It matches the Rfam family "Archaeal small subunit ribosomal RNA", at positions 478 to 1338 of the family's 1478-position model. The record is from RNAcentral.
GUACUCACGAGUGGUGCCACUUAUAUUGGGUCUAAAACGUCGUAGCCGGUCUGCCAAGUCCUUGGUGAAAUCAAUCCGCUUAACGGAUUGAAUUGCCUUGGAAACUGGCAGACUAGAGGCAGGUGGAAGUGGGGGGAAUUCCCGGGGUAGCGGUGAAAUGCGAAGAUCCCGGGAGGACCACCAGUAGCGAAGGCGCCCCACUAUGACUGACCUGACGGUGAGGGACGAAAGCCAGGGGAGCGACCCGGAUUAGAUACCCGGUUAGUCCUGGCCGUAAACGAUGCGGACUGGGUGUUCCGUUACCGCAAGGUAUCGGAGUGCCUAAGGGAAGCCGUUAAGUCCGCUGCCUGGGGAGUAAGAUCGCAAGGUCGAAACUUAAUGGAAUUGGCGGGGGCGCACUACAAGGGGUGGAUGCUGCGGUUUAAUUGAACUCAACGCCCGAUACCUCACCAGGGCCGACAGCAGGAUGAUGGUCAGCCUGAAGGGCUUACCUGACGCGCUGAGAGGUGCUGUAUGGUCAUCGUCAGCUCGUGCCAUGAGGUGUCCUGUUAAUUCAGGUAACGAGCGAGACCCGUGCCCCUAGUUGCUACCUUCCUUCACGGAGGAAGGGCACUCUAGGGGGACUGCUGGGGAAACCCAGAGGAAGGAGCGGGCGACGGUAGAUCUGUAUGGCCCAAAUGCCCUGGGCAACACGCGGCAUACAAUGGCCGGGACAAUGGGCUGCGAACCCGAAAGGGUGAGCUAAUCCCCUAAACCCGGUCUCAGUCCGGAUUGAGGGCUGCAACUCGCCCUCAUGAACGUAUGGAAUCCCCAGUAAUCGCGCGUCACUAUCGCGCGGUGAAUAAGUCCCUGCGCCUU